Molecule: ribosomal RNA, 581 nt
Filed under: uncultured bacterium
Lineage: Bacteria
Description: bacterial SSU rRNA
Rfam family: Bacterial small subunit ribosomal RNA
Source: RNAcentral
CCAGACUCCUACGGGAGGCAGCAGUGGGGAAUAUUGGACAAUGGACCGAGAGUCUGAUCCAGCAAUUCUGUGUGCACGAUGAAGUUUUUCGGAAUGUAAAGUGCUUUCAGUUGGGAAGAAACAAAUGACGGUACCAACAGAAGAAGUGACGGCUAAAUACGUGCCAGCAGCCGCGGUAAUACGUAUGUCACGAGCGUUAUCCGGAUUUAUUGGGCGUAAAGCGCGUCUAGGUGGUUAUGUAAGUCUGAUGUGAAAAUGCAGGGCUCAACUCUGUAUUGCGUUGGAAACUGUAUAACUAGAGUACUGGAGAGGUAAGCGGAACUACAAGUGUAGAGGUGAAAUUCGUAGAUAUUUGUAGGAAUGCCGAUGGGGAAGCCAGCUUACUGGACAGAUACUGACGCUAAAGCGCGAAAGCGUGGGUAGCAAACAGGAUUAGAUACCCUGGUAGUCCACGCUGUAAACGAUGAUUACUAGGUGUUGGGGGUCGAACCUCAGCGCCCAAGCAAACGCGAUAAGUAAUCCGCCUGGGGAGUACGUACGCAAGUAUGAAACUCAAAGGAAUUGACGGGGGCCCGCACAAG